This 263-nucleotide ribosomal RNA is filed under the name uncultured bacterium. RNAcentral's name for it is "partial 16S rRNA". It matches the Rfam family "Bacterial small subunit ribosomal RNA", at positions 30 to 294 of the family's 1533-position model. The record is from RNAcentral.
AUUGAACGCUGGCGGCAUGCUUUACACAUGCAAGUCGAACGGCAGCGGGGGCUUCGGCCUGCCGGCGAGUGGCGAACGGGUGAGUAAUACAUCGGAACGUAUCCUUGAGUGGGGAAUAACGCAUCGAAAGAUGUGCUAAUACCGCAUACCUCUAAGGAGAAAAGCAGGGGACAGAAAUGCCUUGCGCUGAAGGAGCGGCCGAUGUCUGAUUAGCUAGUUGGUGGGGUAAAAGCCUACCAAGGCGACGAUCAGUAGUUGGUCUG